UCCAUAAAUCAAUGAUACAUUUCUGAACUAUCGAUUGUCGUAAUUGGUUCAUAGAUCUAGAUGAAUAUAUUAUUCGUUAGAAUUUUCAUAUGAGUGGAGAGGGCUAUCGACAGUGGAAACGUUAAGUUUAUACAUCGUUUAUCUUUUGAGAAGAGUGAUCCUUCUGCUUCUAGAGAAGAGUUUCGAAAUUCUUUAUCUCUUAUCUCUUCUGAUAUAUUUGUAAUUAUUUAAUUGGAUAAUACACUUCCACUGCCAAAGAGAAGAUUGUUAGUGAGAUAUACGUUCAAGGGAUUGUUUUUGCAAGUACUUAAUAUUAUGUCGAUCUGUUAUCUUUUCACAAAAAUGUAUAUCUUUUGAUUGUUUGUGGAUAUCACAUAAGGAAGAUAUAAAUCUUUAUAAACAUCCAUUGUUACAUAUAAGUUAAGAAUAUGAACACAGCAUUUCAAGUCCUUAGACAACAAAGAAACCCUUUGCUCAGAAAAGAUACUGGAAGGUAUUCACUAUUAAUUUUCUUAUUCAUAUCAUUAUAUUUUUCCAUCCUACUAUUAUAUGAAUUUUCAUUUAAAUAUCCACUAAAAUUUGUAGUAUCGGUGAUAGUAUUUGAAUCUUCCAAUUCUUCCACUUCAAAUAUUUUAAAAGCUCCUAUAAGCUUAUUUAUAU
This is a long non-coding RNA of Vespa mandarinia (Asian giant hornet), 660 nucleotides long. The record is from RefSeq and is a predicted model, not a curated record. Lineage: Eukaryota; Metazoa; Arthropoda; Insecta; Hymenoptera; Vespidae.